Magallana angulata is the source of this 402-nucleotide long non-coding RNA. RefSeq lists it as uncharacterized. The transcript is spliced from 2 exons. NCBI's taxonomy places the organism in Eukaryota, Metazoa, Mollusca, Bivalvia, Ostreida, Ostreidae. The record is from RefSeq and is a predicted model, not a curated record.
UGUAGAAAAGAGAGAGCCGUUAUGCAGAAGAGAAGUUGUGUAUUCUUUCGGUGUACACAUGCAUUUUCAAUUUACUGUGAAACAUAUGAACAUGCACAGGGAACAAUACUACAUAUUUGUUUAAGGAGGAUAUUUUUCUCGUGUGAAUCGUUUACGAGGAAAUUCUGACAGCCACACUUCUGUCGACGAUCAGCCGUUGAUAAGCUACGAGUAAUAUAAAAGGAGAAAAGAUGGACAUUAAAGUGUGUGAUUUAUGUGGAUGUUACUGAAGAAGCUCAAAACAGACUCUUGUUACCACAUGGCUUUUACCGGUACCUGUUGAUUCUUGUGGGUCAGCUCCUGAGAUUAACCUGUCACCUCUAUUCACAUGCAUAUUCCUUGUGUUCUACAGACUAUUUACCG